GACGAACGCUGGCGGCGUGCUUAACACAUGCAAGUCGUACGGUAAGGCCCUUUCGGGGGUACACGAGUGGCGAACGGGUGAGUAACACGUGAGUAACCUGCCCACAACUUUGGGAUAACGCUAGGAAACUGGUGCUAAUACUGGAUAUGUGCUCCUGCUGCAUGGUGGGGGUUGGAAAGCUCCGGCGGUUGUGGAUGGACUCGCGGCCUAUCAGCUUGUUGGUGGGGUAGUGGCCUACCAAGGCGGCGACGGGUAGCCGGCCUGAGAGGGUGACCGGCCACAUUGGGACUGAGGUACGGCCCAGACUCCUACGGGAGGCAGCAGUGGGGAAUAUUGCACAAUGGGCGCAGGCCUGAUGCAGCAACGCCGCGUGCGGGAUGACGGCCUUCGGGUUGUAAACCGCUUUCAGCAGGGACGAAGCUUUUUGUGACGGUACCUGCAGAAGAAGCACCGGCUAACUACGUG
RNAcentral lists this ribosomal RNA (465 nucleotides) under uncultured bacterium. RNAcentral's name for it is "partial 16S ribosomal RNA". It matches the Rfam family "Bacterial small subunit ribosomal RNA", at positions 28 to 507 of the family's 1533-position model. The record is from RNAcentral.